This is a long non-coding RNA of Felis catus (domestic cat), 1689 nucleotides long. RefSeq lists it as uncharacterized. Lineage: Eukaryota; Metazoa; Chordata; Mammalia; Carnivora; Felidae. The record is from RefSeq and is a predicted model, not a curated record. The transcript has 5 exons.
AAACCUUAUGCACACUGGUGCAUAGCCUAACUUGGGGCUUGAACCCAUGAACCAUGAGAUCAUGACCUGAGCUGAAUUCAAGAGCCGGAUGCUUAACCAACUGAGCCACCCAGGCGUCCUGUUGUUAAUCGUUAAGUGCGAUCUGUGGCCAGGAUGUUCCAUCUUCCCAAAACUUGGCUCUUCCCUUGGCUAUGGGAGAUCUUGGCCGGCAUACGUAGCCUUGCUUUCCACCACGUCUGCAGUGCUGUCGUUGGACUUUACUGGGGACAACCAUAUCACACUUUCACAGAAAGCCCCUUUUUCGUUGUGACACGAAGCAAAACAUUUACUCCUGAUCUUCAGGCAUCUGCAAACAGUUUGCCCACAGGAAUGAGCUCCAGUUGCCCUCUGUGGCUAAGGCUUAAGAACAUAGCGCUCAGAACUCUCAGCACCUGGGGGACUCAGCCGGUUAAGCGUCAGACCUCAGCUCAGGUCAUGAUCUCGCAGUUGUGUCUACCCAGAGCAAUCCCACACCUCCAGUUUUGGGAUUCAAAGAUCCCCAUCACCCAUAAAAUCCAUGGCCGGCACCUGCUUUACGACCCACUGGGCUACUGCAUCCAAACACAGAAUUGUUAAACAGCAACAGGACAAGCAGAGCUGAUAGCCUUUAUACAAAGGUGAAGAGGGAGAGAACCCAACUGCUUUAACCAUCCCCCACCAGUUGGCAAGGGGAGGCUAGGCUCCUUCCCUCCAUGUUUGGGUUUCCAAAGAGAUGUCUCCCUCCACUGAAGUUGAUUUUGAGGUGAUUUAUUUGUGAGUCAGAGAUCCCAUAAGUUGAUAAAAUGUUUAAUAUCUCUAUAAAAACCUACAUGGUAAUUUGUCUUUGUACCCAAGCAGUUCCAUUUAGAUUUAUACUCUGCUUAUUAAAGAAUGGAAUCAGGACCCACAGAACCCUCUCUUCCCCUGUUCACGUUGGAACCCACCUCCUCAUCGAAGGCUCCAAUUUCCCUUGCAUAUACUCUGUUUCUGUUUCUUCCUUCCCAUUAUCUGAAAAUAUGUGAUUAUUUCUUUCCCCACCCCAUCUGGCCAUCACCUCACCAACAGCCUGUGCAUCUUCUCUGAGACAAUUGUUUCCAACAGAACAGGGAUCCGGUGGCAUUUUUUUUUUUCUAUAAAGGGCCAAACUGCAAAUAUUUUAGCCUUCGUGGGCUGUACGAUCUCUGUUGUAACUACUCAACCCUGCAAGUAUAUCAUGAAAGCAGCCACAGACAGUAUGUAAACAAAUGAACGUAGCUUUUUCCCAAUAAAACUUUAUUUACAAAAGCAGGCACUGGGCCAGAUUUGGCCCACAGGCUGUAGUUUGUAGAUCCCUGCUCCAGAGCGACAAAAUUAGUCAUCCAUCAUAUCUACUCAAUAAAGUAUUAAAACCUGCCUUGCUUUUUGCAAUAAUUUUUAAAUGUAAUGCCAUGUACACAAGAAUUUCUAUAUUUACAUCUAAAGCUGCUUUGAGACACAGCCAGGGUUGUACUGCAACAUUCUCCAUAUUCACCAUACUUUGUCAAUUGAAAGCAAUAAUUAGGGCCCUCGUAUUCAUGCAUCCAUUUCAUAAAAACCACAUACUGGCCACCAAGGUUACACCCGUUGGUACAUUCAUCAAUGCUUCUUAUUUCACUUUUCUUCUCAUUACAUACAGUAUAAUUUUGUUGACCA